Molecule: ribosomal RNA, 507 nt
Filed under: Acinetobacter baumannii
Lineage: Bacteria; Pseudomonadati; Pseudomonadota; Gammaproteobacteria; Moraxellales; Moraxellaceae
Description: bacterial SSU rRNA
Rfam family: Bacterial small subunit ribosomal RNA
Source: RNAcentral
GAUCCUGGCUCAGAUUGAACGCUGGCGGCAGGCUUAACACAUGCAAGUCGAGCGGGGGAAGGUAGCUUGCUACCGGACCUAGCGGCGGACGGGUGAGUAAUGCUUAGGAAUCUGCCUAUUAGUGGGGGACAACAUCUCGAAAGGGAUGCUAAUACCGCAUACGUCCUACGGGAGAAAGCAGGGGAUCUUCGGACCUUGCGCUAAUAGAUGAGCCUAAGUCGGAUUAGCUAGUUGGUGGGGUAAAGGCCUACCAAGGCGACGAUCUGUAGCGGGUCUGAGAGGAUGAUCCGCCACACUGGGACUGAGACACGGCCCAGACUCCUACGGGAGGCAGCAGUGGGGAAUAUUGGACAAUGGGGGGAACCCUGAUCCAGCCAUGCCGCGUGUGUGAAGAAGGCCUUAUGGUUGUAAAGCACCUUAAGCGAGGAGGAGGCUACUUUAGUUAAUACCUAGAGAUAGUGGACGUUACUCGCAGAAUAAGCACCGGCUAACUCUGUGCCAGCAGCC